Molecule: long non-coding RNA, 1154 nt
Filed under: Marmota monax (woodchuck)
Lineage: Eukaryota; Metazoa; Chordata; Mammalia; Rodentia; Sciuridae
Source: RNAcentral
CAGGCACUCAUGCACACAUGUGUGUGUACACACGCACACACUUGCACAUGUUACACUGGUGGCAUCCAAGCACACUGUGCACAUGCCACGCCACUUCUCAUCUCCUGCCUGCCUUUCUGGUUUCCCUGGGUUCCUGAUGGCCUUGUGUGCUUGGGUCCUAGACAUAGACCCUUCCACUUCCACCCUUCCUUCUUCCACUCUGUCUCAUGUUUCUUCGUAUCAGUGGUUUGUUGUCUCAUCUUCAUGAGGAAGUCUGUCCAGAACCUUCUAUGGGGCAUGGUCAGUGGGUUGCCCACCUUGUUCAGCCGCAGUCCUGGUUCCCUUUCCUGCCUCUGGUUUAGGCAUUCCCAGCUAACCUCCUUCCUUAGAUGACCCCUGGUUUUUAUGGAGUGCAUCGUGAAGUCCUCAAGUCUCCAUGGGACUGUGGGGCCUUUGUUAUCUGGGCUUCUUCCUCGGGGGGUGGGGAACAGUGCCGUUGUGUCUGGGCACUGCAGCCAGACUGCCUGGCUCUGAAGCCUGUCUCCUCCAGUCACCAGCUGUGUGACCCUGGGCAAGUUAGCCCAUGUCUCUGGGCCUUCGUUUCCACACUCUGCAAGGCAAAGGUGACCUUGCCAUCUCACAGGGCUUGAGCCUGUGAAGGUGGUGGGCUCAGAUGAGGGCUGCUGCUGUGUGUGGGAGUGCUGUCCGUUAACAGUCAGCUUUCUAGGGUUUCUUUUCAGAAGAGUUUCUCUCUCCUUCAAGUUGGGUCCCCGUGGGUCCUCGCUGUACCCACCUAGGUCCCCCUAUGAGGCCCUGCUGUGGAGGCCUCCUCGAGGGCUGAGGUCUGCCUCACAUGACCUGAUCUAACAUGGAGCCCUGGGCUCCCUAAGCCCCUCUGGGCCAGCAGUCCUCCACAACCUCUCUCCCCUGAGCCAGUCUCUGAGCCCUAUUCCCCGCCCACAGGGCACAAGGCCUCAGGCAGGUCCCCAGGGUUCCCUGGGGCUUGCAGGGUCCCUCUGCCAACUGUAUCUCCUGCAUAGCUGGAUUUCUUUAUACCCAGCGACCAGAUCAGUAUGAGGAUGCAGCUUGCCCCAGACCCAGGUGUGUGGCCGAGCCUGCCUAGAGACUGACGUGAGCACAGGUAACUCUCACUGAGGUGCUGUGCUUUGAAAACU